RNAcentral lists this ribosomal RNA (603 nucleotides) under Stumpffia psologlossa (Madagascar stump-toed frog). Its description in RNAcentral is "partial 16S ribosomal RNA". The stretch from base 1 to 426 matches the Rfam family "Bacterial large subunit ribosomal RNA", at positions 684 to 1301 of the family's 2925-position model. The record is from RNAcentral. Lineage: Eukaryota; Metazoa; Chordata; Amphibia; Anura; Microhylidae.
CCAAGCAGAAUGCACUUAAAGUUUGACACCCCGAAACUAAGCGAGCUACUCUAAAACAGCCUACAGAGCUAACUCAUCCCUGUUGCAAAAAGGUGAGAAGAUUUUAAAGUAGAGGUGACACACCUAACGAGCCUAGAGAUAGCUGGUUAUUCAAAAGACGGAUUUAAGUCCAACUUUAAGUUUUCUUAGUCCCACUAAAUAAUUCAAAAACUUAAAAGCCAUUCAAAUAAGGUACAGCCUAUUUGAAUAAGGAAACAACCUAUAACAUAGGGUAAUGACUACUAGCGUGACCAAGUAGGCCUAAAAGCAGCCAUCUUCUAAAAAGCGUCCAAGCUUCCCCACCAAACAUUUCUAAUAUCACUAUUAAUCCUCAACCCACAACCACUACUGAAUGAUCCCAUAACUAUAUGGAAGACACAAUGCUAGAACUAGUAACAAGAAGACGAACUUCUCCAAAAUGCAAAUAUAGGCCAAAAUAAACCUCUUGCCGGCACUUAUCGCUAUAACCACAGUAUACUUCUACAAGAAAGCUCUACUAAAUCMAGCGCUAGCCUUACACCAGAGCAUUACUGGAAAGAUUAAAAGAGAGAGAAGGAACUCGGC